AAAGUGCACCCAGUUUUGGGG
RNAcentral lists this microRNA (21 nucleotides) under Macaca mulatta (Rhesus monkey). RNAcentral describes it as "mml-miR-1323-3p". The record is from miRBase by way of RNAcentral. Lineage: Eukaryota; Metazoa; Chordata; Mammalia; Primates; Cercopithecidae. RNAcentral also lists the same sequence under 2 other names.